Molecule: ribosomal RNA, 446 nt
Filed under: uncultured bacterium
Lineage: Bacteria
Description: partial 16S ribosomal RNA
Rfam family: Bacterial small subunit ribosomal RNA
Source: RNAcentral
CCUACGGGAGGCAGCAGUCGAGAAUCAUUCACAAUGGGGGAAACCCUGAUGGUGCGACGCCGCGUGGGGGAAUGAAGGUCUUCGGAUUGUAAACCCCUGUCAUGUGGGAGCAAAUUAAAAAGAUAGUACCACAAGAGGAAGAGACGGCUAACUCUGUGCCAGCAGCCGCGGUAAUACAGAGGUCUCAAGCGUUGUUCGGAAUCACUGGGCGUAAAGCGUGCGUAGGCUGUUUCGUAAGUCGUGUGUGAAAGGCGCGGGCUCAACCCGCGGACGGCACAUGAUACUGCGAGACUAGAGUAAUGGAGGGGGAACCGGAAUUCUCGGUGUAGCAGUGAAAUGCGGAGAUAGCGAGAGGAACACUCGUGGCGAAGGCGGGUUCCUGGACAUUAACUGACGCUGAGGCACGAAGGCCAGGGGAGCGAAAGGGAUUAGAUACCCCAGUAGUC